Diabrotica virgifera virgifera (western corn rootworm) is the source of this 1307-nucleotide long non-coding RNA. RefSeq lists it as uncharacterized. The record is from RefSeq and is a predicted model, not a curated record. The transcript is spliced from 2 exons. Lineage: Eukaryota; Metazoa; Arthropoda; Insecta; Coleoptera; Chrysomelidae.
UGGAAAAACUCGGAUUUUCUGAGUAAAAUUUUUGUUGAAGGAAAUCGGAAAAAAAAUAACUUUGUGCAGAACUAAAUUACGGUGAAUUUUUAUUUGAGUGUUUUUGGCUCAAAGGAAAAAUUAUAGGAGUUACAGACCACUAAUUGAAAAAAAAAAAAAGAAGAUUUAGGAGUGCUAAUUUGUUUAUAAAUAAAAUAACACACUUUCUGCGGACUUGUCAUACCCCUUAUUACUAAUAUAUGCAAUCUUAAGAUUCGAUUUUAGCAAUAAAAUAGCUGGUAAAUAAUUUUUCCCAAAAAUGGUAUUUUUUCGAUAAUUUUCCCAGACCAUCAACAAAAUCCAGGGAGAGAUUAAAUGUCCAGCAAACGAUGGCACUGUUGCCAGAUUUACCUUUUUCCUUUUAGCGGGAAUUUUAAAAUUAGUCUAAUGCCACUUUGGUUUUAAAAGAGAGUUUUGUAUAGGCCGUUCCAAGAUGCUGUCAAAAUUAAAUCAAUAUGGCUACUGGAAGGCAAACAUUGAAUAUUAUUCUAUCAGGUUCUUAUGGUUUUAGAUCAUUUUAGUUGUUGUACAAAGAUUAAUUUAACAUUUUCUCUGGAAGUAUUAAUUUAGAAAGAUAAUAUGCCUCAUUGGUGUUGUGUUUUGAAGUGUGAAAUGCAAAGUAAUCGUGAUAAAGUUAGCUUUUACCACUUACCAUCAGUGCUACAUUCUAAGCACAAAACUGAACCAAUUUAACUAAAUAAGUUAUAGUUAUCAUCUGAGAGACAACAACAAUGGUAAAAUGCAAUAAAAUAUAAAGAUUUUACUAGCAAAAUGGAAAUUCCCCUGUAAUCAUCUUAUAUCUGGUAAGUUACAACAUUUGAACAUUAACGAUUUUUGAAGAUGUUAACAGUCUAAUCUUGUAGGAAAACCAGCCGACUUAACUGAUAAUAACAAUCCAGAUUGGGUUCCUUCAAUAAAUAUGGGGUAUAUAAACACAAUGAAAUGAGUUCCCCAAAAUCUAAAAUGGGAAUUAAGGUACCAAAGGAGAAUUAAAAGAAAAGGGUACCUACAAGAAAAAAUUGCUUUUUUAUUCCUCUUGAAAUGAUUUAUAAGACACUGGACUGUCUUAUAUUCUACAAAUACUAGAAUCAGCUGAGAGAAGUGAUCUACAAAAACCCAGGAAGGAAACGGAAUAUGUGGCUACGAAAGGCAAAAGAAAGGUUUACAAAGCAAAUGUGACACAUUUUUUUGAAAUAUUUAGGAAUAUCAGUAAAUUGCAUUAAAAAAAUGUAUGAAAAGAUUUUGUUCAAUAAAAAUGUUUAUAUUUA